RNAcentral lists this ribosomal RNA (253 nucleotides) under uncultured bacterium. Its description in RNAcentral is "partial 16S ribosomal RNA". It matches the Rfam family "Bacterial small subunit ribosomal RNA", at positions 524 to 776 of the family's 1533-position model. The record is from RNAcentral.
UACGGGGGGGGCAAGCGUUGUUCGGAAUUACUGGGCGUAAAGGGCUCGUAGGCGGCCAACUAAGUCAGACGUGAAAUCCCUCGGCUUAACCGGGGAACUGCAUCUGAUACUGGAUGGCUUGAGUUCGGGAGAGGGAUGCGGAAUUCCAGGUGUAGCGGUGAAAUGCGUAGAUAUCUGGAGGAACACCGGUGGCGAAGGCGGCAUCCUGGACCGGCACUGACGCUGAGGAGCGAAAGCGUGGGGAGCAAACAGG